AUGUUGCUCAAGCAGAUCUGUUUGUCAGAAACAGGAUUAUCAUACCAAUUCAUAUUCAAACCAAAGGCACUUUCUCGUCACGCAGUUGGGAGGUAUGUACUGCAUGGCUUCUCCAUUCUAUGUGAUACGUUUGCUUUACUAUGCAUUUGGUUACCUUCUUAUGUUGAUGUUACAGAAGCAUCGUCCUUCCCUUUUAUGCAGAUAGUCAGUGUCAGGCUCACCCAAACCUAUGGCUUAUGGAGUCUCAUUGCUUGCUUUACUUUGGGGGUAAUCAAUUAUACCUGUCAUUGUUUGAUUGCCAUAUUUUGGUGGUAUAGAUGCCAUACAGUUCUUUUUACAUUGGAGAAGUUUAUUUUUGAAUGA
RNAcentral lists this ribosomal RNA (363 nucleotides) under Triticum aestivum (bread wheat). RNAcentral describes it as "partial small subunit ribosomal RNA". Lineage: Eukaryota; Viridiplantae; Streptophyta; Magnoliopsida; Poales; Poaceae. The record is from RNAcentral.